ACAUGCAGUCGAACGAAGCCUUCGGGUUUAGUGGCGCACGGGUGCGUAACGCGUGGGAAUCUGCCCCUUGGUUCGGAAUAACAGUUGGAAACGACUGCUAAUACCGGAUGAUGACGUAAGUCCAAAGAUUUAUCGCCGAGGGAUGAGCCCGCGUAGGAUUAGGUAAUUGGUGUGGUAAAGGCGCACCAAGCCGACGAUCCUUAGCUGGUCUGAGAGGAUGAUCAGCCACACUGGGACUGAGACACGGCCCAGACUCCUACGGGAGGCAGCAGCGGGGAAUAUUGGACAAUGGGCGAAAGCCUGAUCCAGCAAUGCCGCGUGAGUGAUGAAGGCCUUAGGGUUGUAAAGCUCUUUUACCCGGGAUGAUAAUGACAGUACCGGGAGAAUAAGCUCCGGCUAACUCCGUGCC
RNAcentral lists this ribosomal RNA (409 nucleotides) under uncultured Sphingomonas sp. RNAcentral describes it as "bacterial SSU rRNA". It matches the Rfam family "Bacterial small subunit ribosomal RNA", at positions 53 to 509 of the family's 1533-position model. The record is from RNAcentral. Lineage: Bacteria; Pseudomonadati; Pseudomonadota; Alphaproteobacteria; Sphingomonadales; Sphingomonadaceae.